Molecule: ribosomal RNA, 119 nt
Filed under: Pteropus alecto (black flying fox)
Lineage: Eukaryota; Metazoa; Chordata; Mammalia; Chiroptera; Pteropodidae
Source: RNAcentral
GUCUACGGCCGUGCCGUCCUGAACAAGCCUGAUCCUGUCUGAUCUUGGAAGCUAAGCAGGGUUAGGCCUGGUUAGUAUUUGUGUGCGAGACCACCUAGGAAGACUAGGUGCUGUAGGUG